Molecule: long non-coding RNA, 432 nt
Filed under: Panax ginseng (ginseng)
Lineage: Eukaryota; Viridiplantae; Streptophyta; Magnoliopsida; Apiales; Araliaceae
Description: long non-coding RNA (PGIN_LNC004620)
Source: RNAcentral
UGGGCUCUUCAAAUGCAUGCAUCCCUUGUGGAUGCUCAUCUUCAUAAUUAAUGGAAAUCAUUGGAGAGCAUAUUAUAUUUCCUCCCCAACUACUAGUUGUAGUACUGUAUGCAGAAGUAGUUGUACCAUUCACCAUGACCACUCCAUACAAAUUGGUAGUCUCCAUGAAUUCAUACGCUGUUUCGUCAAUCUGAUUAAUAGCCAAGUUGUUGAAAGCUUGAAAAUCAUUUGAAUAAUGGCUAUUCAUCAAUUGAAAACAAGUAUUAUUAUCAAUGAAUGCCAAACAACUAGCUGCCGGAAUAAUAUUCAUGGAAUUAUCAAUAUCAGUUUCAUAUACUAGUUGGUUCGGACUCGGAGGCUGUUUUGGAUUCGGAUUCACAACGAAUGAUGAUAUGGCCACAGCUGGAAGCUGAUCCGGCAGCCCGUUAUAGC